UUCAACAUAGUAGUGAAGCAUGUGACCCAGGUCUAAGCCAAUCAAAACUCCACGUUCCCCAGGCCACGGUGAUUGGUGCAGAAUGUUCACAUGACCCAAUCUGACUCAGGUAGAUCACGAGAGACUCUACCCUUCCAUCUGAAACUUAAUCUGGAAUUGAAGACUGUGGGAAGAGCUGUGGCUACAUUAUAAUCACAAGAGUUAUAGAUUUUUGCUGAGCUUUACACACCAGUUUAAGAAAUCUGACCUGAAGAAGUCAUCGUAUCGGUGAAUACAGAUCAAUUUUUCAAGAUAAAGAAACUGAAGAACAAAGAAUUAUUUAAAAUGGAAGUGGCAGAAUCCAGAUCCAAACACAGACACCUCUGCAGCAAAAGACUACAGGUCUCCUAAUGACUGUUAAGUGAAAAGAGGGACUGAUGGAAAAGGUUGACGCAAUUUCUUAUGCCAAACCACAAGGUGUCACUUAGCAGGUGACAGCCAUAUCAUCAAAGGAUCAUAGCUACAAUUCCCAAAGACCAAGAAAUGAUCUGAUUUUUUAAUACCACCCCUGCAUAAACUCCUAAAAAG
Long non-coding RNA from Fukomys damarensis (Damara mole-rat), 567 nucleotides. RefSeq lists it as uncharacterized. The transcript has 5 exons. The record is from RefSeq and is a predicted model, not a curated record. Lineage: Eukaryota; Metazoa; Chordata; Mammalia; Rodentia; Bathyergidae.